Non-coding RNA from Pelobates cultripes (western spadefoot toad), 228 nucleotides. NCBI's taxonomy places the organism in Eukaryota, Metazoa, Chordata, Amphibia, Anura, Pelobatidae. The record is from the annotation of a GenBank genome assembly.
CACAGAUAACACUUUACAAUAUAUAACACUUUAUAUAUAAGCAAUGCACACUUUUUAAACAAUACUACUAUACAUGCAGCGCUGCAAUAAACAAAAAUAAGAUUUAUUCUACUGUGUCCAAACUGUGCAUUCAAUACAGUGACUAAAUGUGGUCACUCAGUGGGACUGCUAUACCCACUAUAUACAACUUACCGACAAGAUGGGACUCUAACCCAGAAAAUAUAAAUG